This 253-nucleotide ribosomal RNA is filed under the name uncultured bacterium. RNAcentral's name for it is "partial 16S ribosomal RNA". It matches the Rfam family "Bacterial small subunit ribosomal RNA", at positions 524 to 776 of the family's 1533-position model. The record is from RNAcentral.
UACGUAGGCAGCAAGCGUUGUUCGGAGUUACUGGGCGUAAAGAGUGCGUAGGCGGUCUUUUAAGUUUGGUGUGAAAUCUCCCGGCUCAACUGGGAGGGUGCGCCGAAAACUGGAAGGCUUGAGGAUGGGAGAGGCAUGCGGAAUUCCUGGUGUAGCGGUGAAAUGCGUAGAUAUCAGGAGGAACACCGGUGGCGAAGGCGGGUCUCUGGGCCGAUACUGACGCUGAGGAGCGAAAGCGUGGGGAGCGAACAGG